Cinara cedri is the source of this 360-nucleotide non-coding RNA. Lineage: Eukaryota; Metazoa; Arthropoda; Insecta; Hemiptera; Aphididae. The record is from the annotation of a GenBank genome assembly.
UGAAUUCACGGUGGAAAUACGAAGGGAAACAAAGGGUUUUUACCAAAAAAAAAACAACACCUUCGAUAAAUAAUAUACGAGUUUUUUUUCCCAAUAUAAUGUAAAUUGUUAUUGUACUUGAAACACUGUUUAAAAUAUCUAAGUAAUAGUAACGGUGGCUCACAAACACGAAGGCCGUGGGAGAUUUUAAUUUAUACCUACUCCGCAAAACUGUGCGGGUAAGUACACUCAGAUGCAGAAAUGCGUCUAUAUAUAUAUAUAUAUAUAUAUACAUAUAAAAAACGGUUUAAUAAUACGGAGUCAAUGUAGUCAAAUUACCAAAUACGAUAUCUGAAAUCGAAUAUAAAAUAUUAUCGUUGU